GACGAACGCUGCCUUCGUGCUUAACACAUGCAAGUCGAACGGAAAGGCCCUGCUUUUGUGGGGUGCUCGAGUGGCGAACGGGUGAGUAACACGUGAGUAACCUGCCCUUGACUUUGGGAUAACUUCAGGAAACUGGGGCUAAUACCGGAUAGGAGCUCCUGCUGCAUGGUGGGGGUUGGAAAGUUUCGGCGGUUGGGGAUGGACUCGCGGCUUAUCAGCUUGUUGGUGGGGUAGUGGCUUACCAAGGCUUUGACGGGUAGCCGGCCUGAGAGGGUGACCGGCCACAUUGGGACUGAGAUACGGCCCAGACUCCUACGGGAGGCAGCAGUGGGGAAUAUUGCACAAUGGGCGGAAGCCUGAUGCAGCAACGCCGCGUGCGGGAUGACGGCCUUCGGGUUGUAAACCGCUUUCGCCUGUGACGAAGCGUGAGUGACGGUAAUGGGUAAAGAAGCACCGGCUAACUACGUGCCAGCAGCCGCGGUGAUACGUAGGGUGCGAGCGUUGUCCGGAUUUAUUGGGCGUAAAGGGCUCGUAGGUGGUUGAUCGCGUCGGAAGUGUAAUCUUGGGGCUUAACCCUGAGCGUGCUUUCGAUACGGGUUGACUUGAGGAAGGUAGGGGAGAAUGGAAUUCCUGGUGGAGCGGUGGAAUGCGCAGAUAUCAGGAGGAACACCAGUGGCGAAGGCGGUUCUCUGGGCCUUUCCUGACGCUGAGGAGCGAAAGCGUGGGGAGCGAACAGGCUUAGAUACCCUGGUAGUCCACGCUGUAAACGGUGGGUACUAGGUGUGGGGUCCAUUCCACGGGUUCCGUGCCGUAGCUAACGCUUUAAGUACCCCGCCUGGGGAGUACGGCCGCAAGGCUAAAACUCAAAGGAAUUGACGGGGCCCCGCACAAGCGGCGGAGCAUGCGGAUUAAUUCGAUGCAACGCGUAGAACCUUACCUGGGUUUGACAUGGAUCGGGAGCGCUCAGAGAUGGGUGUGCCUCUUUUGGGGUCGGUUCACAGGUGGUGCAUGGCUGUCGUCAGCUCGUGUCGUGAGAUGUUGGGUUAAGUCCCGCAACGAGCGCAACCCUUGUUCACUGUUGCCAGCACGUUAUGGUGGGGACUCAGUGGAGACCGCCGGGGUCAACUCGGAGGAAGGUGGGGAUGACGUCAAGUCAUCAUGCCCCUUAUGUCCAGGGCUUCACGCAUGCUACAAUGGCUGGUACAGAGAGUGGCGAGCCUGUGAGGGUGAGCGAAUCUCGGAAAGCCGGUCUCAGUUCGGAUUGGGGUCUGCAACUCGACCUCAUGAAGUCGGAGUCACUAGUAAUCGCAGAUCAGCAACGCUGCGGUGAAUACGUUCCCGGG
This 1343-nucleotide ribosomal RNA is filed under the name uncultured bacterium. RNAcentral describes it as "16S ribosomal RNA". It matches the Rfam family "Bacterial small subunit ribosomal RNA", at positions 28 to 1378 of the family's 1533-position model. The record is from RNAcentral.